ACAUGGUUGGCUGAGUGGUCGAAAGCGGUGGAUUGCAAACCCACUGGAGAAAUCCCACGCCGGUUCGAAUCCGGCACCAUGUUCCA
Molecule: transfer RNA, 86 nt
Filed under: Candidatus Poribacteria bacterium
Lineage: Bacteria; Candidatus Poribacteria
Description: tRNA-Cys
Rfam family: tRNA
About the family: Transfer RNA (tRNA) molecules are approximately 80 nucleotides in length. Their secondary structure includes four short double-helical elements and three loops (D, anti-codon, and T loops). Further hydrogen bonds mediate the characteristic L-shaped molecular structure. tRNAs have two regions of fundamental functional importance: the anti-codon, which is responsible for specific mRNA codon recognition, and the 3' end, to which the tRNAs corresponding amino acid is attached (by aminoacyl-tRNA synthetases). tRNAs cope with the degeneracy of the genetic code in two manners: having more than one tRNA (with a specific anti-codon) for a particular amino acid; and 'wobble' base-pairing, i.e. permitting non-standard base-pairing at the 3rd anti-codon position.
Source: RNAcentral